Molecule: ribosomal RNA, 274 nt
Filed under: uncultured bacterium
Lineage: Bacteria
Description: partial 16S ribosomal RNA
Rfam family: Bacterial small subunit ribosomal RNA
Source: RNAcentral
ACACGGAGGUCGCAAGCGUUGCUCGGAAUCACUGGGCGUAAAGCGGGUGUAGGCGGUCUAGCAAGUCAGAUGUGAAAGCCCACGGCUCAACCGUGGAAGUGCAUCUGAAACUGCUAGACUUGAGUGCCGGAGAGGGAAGUGGAAUUCCUGGUGUAGGGGUGAAAUCCGUAGAUAUCAGGAGGAACACCGGUGGCGAAGGCGACUUCCUGGACGGCCACUGACGCUGAGACACGAAAGCGUGGGGAGCAAACAGGAUUAGAAACCCUAGUAGUCC